This 5633-nucleotide long non-coding RNA is filed under the name Homo sapiens (human). RNAcentral's name for it is "non-protein coding lnc-CDKL3-2:13". The record is from RNAcentral. Lineage: Eukaryota; Metazoa; Chordata; Mammalia; Primates; Hominidae.
ACUCCGCCGGCGUUUCCAUGGUGGCAAGUGGCCGGUUCCUUGCGGGGCUGAGCAACAAAGUAGUAUCAGUGUUCGGUGGCUCCACUGGAACUACGCAGAGCCAGACCAGCGGGACCACAGAAUGGGCUGAGGCGGCGGCGGCUGUUUGGAUAAAGUCAACAGCGGGACGUGGGGCGUGACGCCGGUCCGGCAUCCUAAGACGUGUGGUUUGAGUUGCGGGCGAGACCAGGCUUUUUUUAGGACCUUGGGCCUGAUAAGUGGGCGACUGCAGUAGUGCGGGAACCUAUUAUUUGACAGGAACAUGACAGGAAGUGUAGGGACCCCAUGCUUGAUGGAUGGUGACUUAUAGUGUGGUAGUCUCAGUGUUGAUGGGCAUGACCGAGACAGCAGGAGUACCCCUAAGUUCUGGUGAGAGGUGGAGCCUCAGAAGGACACCUUACUCAAGCUGUCUUUAGUUCCCAAAGACAAAAAGGCUCAGUGGAAAAGAUUCCUUUUUUUUUUUUAAUGUCUCUAUAUUUGAGACUGUGGGUUUAUUGUGGAUAUGCAUUAUCUAGUUUUAAUAAAUAAAAGUAUAAACGUUUAACAUUUUCCAUUUUCUUUCUUUAUUUCUAUAAAGUAGUAAAAGCCCAGCUUGAAAAUGGAGAUGUAUGAAACCCUUGGAAAAGUGGGAGAGGGAAGUUACGGAACAGUCAUGAAAUGUAAACAUAAGAAUACUGGGCAGAUAGUGGCCAUUAAGAUAUUUUAUGAGAGACCAGAACAAUCUGUCAACAAAAUUGCGAUGAGAGAAAUAAAGUUUCUAAAGCAAUUUCAUCACGAAAACCUGGUCAAUCUGAUUGAAGUUUUUAGACAGAAAAAGAAAAUUCAUUUGGUAUUUGAAUUUAUUGACCACACAGUAUUAGAUGAGUUACAACAUUAUUGUCAUGGACUAGAGAGUAAGCGACUUAGAAAAUACCUCUUCCAGAUCCUUCGAGCAAUUGACUAUCUUCACAGUAAUAAUAUCAUUCAUCGAGAUAUAAAACCUGAGAAUAUUUUAGUAUCCCAGUCAGGAAUUACUAAGCUCUGUGAUUUUGGUUUUGCACGAACACUAGCAGCUCCUGGGGACAUUUAUACGGACUAUGUGGCCACACGCUGGUAUAGAGCUCCCGAAUUAGUAUUAAAAGAUACUUCUUAUGGAAAACCUGUGGAUAUCUGGGCUUUGGGCUGUAUGAUCAUUGAGAUGGCCACUGGAAAUCCCUAUCUUCCUAGUAGUUCUGAUUUGGAUUUACUCCAUAAAAUUGUUUUGAAAGUGGGCAAUUUGUCACCUCACUUGCAGAAUAUCUUUUCCAAGAGCCCCAUUUUUGCUGGGGUAGUUCUUCCUCAAGUUCAACACCCCAAAAAUGCAAGAAAAAAAUAUCCAAAGCUUAAUGGAUUGUUGGCAGAUAUAGUUCAUAUUCAUGCCAGAACUGAAAGCUAAAUUACUGCAGGAAGCAAAAGUCAAUUCAUUAAUAAAGCCAAAAGAGAGUUCUAAAGAAAAUGAACUCAGGAAAGAUGAAAGAAAAACAGUUUAUACCAAUACACUGCUAAGUAGUUCAGUUUUGGGAAAGGAAAUAGAAAAAGAGAAAAAGCCCAAGGAGAUCAAAGUCAGAGUUAUUAAAGUCAAAGGAGGAAGAGGAGAUAUCUCAGAACCAAAAAAGAAAGAGUAUGAAGGUGGACUUGGUCAACAGGAUGCAAAUGAAAAUGUUCAUCCUAUGUCUCCAGAUACAAAACUUGUAACCAUUGAACCACCAAACCCUAUCAAUCCCAGCACUAACUGUAAUGGCUUGAAAGAAAAUCCACAUUGCGGAGGUUCUGUGACAAUGCCACCCAUCAAUCUAACUAACAGUAAUUUGAUGGCUGCAAAUCUCAGUUCAAAUCUCUUUCACCCCAGUGUGAGGUUAACUGAAAGAGCAAAAAAGAGACGCACUUCUUCACAAUCUAUUGGACAAGUUAUGCCUAAUAGCAGGCAAGAGGAUCCAGGUCCUAUUCAAAGCCAAAUGGAGAAGGGUAUAUUUAAUGAGCGAACAGGUCACAGUGACCAAAUGGCAAAUGAGAACAAAAGGAAGCUGAAUUUUUCCAGAUCUGACAGGAAAGAAUUCCAUUUUCCAGAAUUGCCUGUCACAAUACAGUCAAAAGAUACAAAAGGAAUGGAAGUUAAACAGAUAAAAAUGCUGAAGAGGGAGUCAAAGAAAACAGAGUCAUCUAAGAUACCAACUUUACUUAACGUGGAUCAAAAUCAAGAAAAACAAGAGGUACGUCUUUAUCAGCGGCAUGAAGACAGACCAAUACAGUGAAUUGGUACCAGUAGAGUGGGGCAUUGCUGAAAAGAUACCCAAAAAUGUGGAAGCAACUUUGGAACUGGGUAACAGGCAGAGGUUUGAACAGUUUGGAGAGCUCAGAAGAAGACAGGAAAAUGUGGGAAAGUUUGGAACUUUCUAGAGACUUGUUGAAUGGCUUUGACCAGAAGCUUGAUCAUGAUAUGGACAAUAAAAUCCAAGCUGAGGUGGUCUCAGAUAGAGAUGAGGAACUUGUUGGGAACUGGAGCAAAGGUGACUCUUGUUAUGUUUUAGCAAAGAGAUUGGCAGCAUUUUGCCCCUGCACUAGAGAUUGUGGAACUUUGAACUUGAGAGAGGUGAUUUAGGGUAACUGGUGGAAGAAAUUUCUUUUUGUUGUUGUUGUUUUUUUUCUUUUUUGAGACAGUCUCACUCUAUAACCAGUCUGGAGUGCAGUGGCAUGAUCUUGGCUCACUGCAACCUGUGCCUACUGGGUUCAAGUGAUUCUCCUGCCUCAGCCUCCUGAGUAACUGGGACUAUAGGCAUGUGCCACCACACCCACCUAAUUUUUGUAUUUUUAGUGGAGACGGGGUUUCACCAUGUUGGCCAGGAUGGUCUCAAUCUCUUGACCUCGUGAUCCACAUGCCUUGGCCUCCCAAAGUGCUGGGAUUACAGGCAUGAGCCACUGCACCCAACUGGUGGAAGAAAUUUCUAAGCAGCAAAGCAUUCAAGAGGUGACUUGGAUGCUAUUAAAGGCAUUCAGUUUUAUAAGGGAAGCAAAGCAUAAAAGUUCAGAAAAUUUGCAGCCUGACAAUGCAAUAGAUAAUAAAAUCCCAUUUUCUGAGGAGAAAUUCAAGCCAGCUGCAGAAAUUUGCAAAAGCAAUGAGGAGCUGACUGUUAAUCCCCAAGACAAUGGGGAAAAUGUCUCCAGGACAUGUCAGAGACGUUUGCGGCAGCCCCUCCCAUUACAGACCCAGAGGCCUAGGAGGAAAGGCCCAGGGUCCCCAUGCUGUGUGCAGCCAAGGGACUUGGUGCCCUGUGUCCCAGCUGCUCCAGCCAUGGCUGAAGGGGGCCAAUGUAGAGCUUGGCCUGUGGCUUCAGAGGAGCAAGCCCCAAGCCUUGGCAGCUUCCCUGUAGUGUUGAGCCUGUGAGUGCACAGAAGUCAAGAAUUGGGGUUUGGGAACCUCCGCCAAGAUUUCAGAAGAUGUAUGGAAAUGCCUGGAUGUCCAGGAAGAAGUUUGCUGCAGGGGUGGGGCCCUCAUGGAGAACAUCUGCUGGGGUAGUGCAAAAGGGAAAUGUGGGGUUGGAGCCCCCACACAGAGUCCCUACUGGGGCACCACCUAGUGGAGCUGUGAGAAGAGGGCCACUGUCCUCCAGACCCCAGAAUGGUAGACUCACUUGUUACGGGAAGUCAGGGGCCCCGAACGGAGGGACCGGCUGAAGCCAUGGCAGAAGAACAUAAAUUGUGAAGAUUUCAUGGACAUUUAUCACUUCCCCAAUCAAUACUCUUAUAAUUUCCUAUGCCUGUCUUUAAUCUCUUAAUCCCAUCAUCUUCGUAAGCUGAGGAUGUAUGUCGCCUCGGGACUUUGUGAUGAUUGCGUUAACUGCACAAAUUGUUUGUAAAACGUGUGUUUGAACAAUAUGAAAUCUGGGCAUCCUAAAAAAGAAUAGGAUAACAGUGGUUUUCAGGGAACAAGGGAGAUAACCAUAAGGUCUGACUGCCUGUGGGGCCAGGCAGAACAGAGUCAUAUUUCUCUUCUUGCAGAAAGCGAAUAGGAGAAAUAUUGCUUAAUUCUUUUCCCAGCAAGGAAUAACCCUGGGAAAGGAAUGCCUUCCCAGGGGGAGGUCUCUAAAAUGGCUGCUCUGGGAGUAUCUGUCUUGUGCAGUUGAAGAUAAGGGAUGAAAUACGCCCUGGUCUCCUGCAGUGCCCUCAGGCUUGCUAGGAUUAGGAAAUUCCAGCCUGGCGAAUUCUAGUCAGACCGGUUGUCUGCUCUUGAACCCUCUUUCCUGUUAAGAUGUUUAUCAAUGACACUGUGUGCCCAGCAGGACAUGGAACCUCAUCAGUAAUUCUAAUUUCACCUGGCCUUGUAAUCUUGCUCUGCCUCUCUGCCCUUGUGAUCUUUUAUUGCCCUUUCAAGCAUGUGAUCUUUGUGACUUACUCCCUGUUCGUAUCCCCCUCCCCUUUUGAAAUUCCUAAUAAAAGCUUGCUGGUUUUGCAGCUCAGGGGGCAUCACGGAGCCUACCAAUAGGUGAUGUCACCCCCGGAGGCCCAGCUGUAAAAUUUCUCUCUUUUGUACUCUUUCUCUAUUUCUCAGACAGACCAACACUUAGGGAAAAUAGAAAAGAACCUACGUUGAAAUAUUGGGGGCUGGUUCCCCCACUAUUCACUGACUGCUUGCACUGUGUGCCUGGAAAAGCUGCAGACACUCAAUGCCAGCCCAUGAAAGCAGCCAGGAGGGAGGCUGUACCCUGCAAAGCCAUAGAGGUGGAGCUUCCCAUGACCAUGGGAACCCACCUCUUGCAUUAGUGUGACCUGGAUGUGAGACAUGAAGUCAAAGGAGAUCAUUUUGGAGCUUUAAUAAUUGACUGCUCCACUGGAUUUUGGAUUUGCAUGGGACCUGUAGCCCCUUUGUUUUCGCCAAUGUCUCCCAUUCAGAAUGGCUGUAUUUAUCCAAUGCCUGUACCUCCAUUGUAUCUAGGAAGUAAAUAACUUGCUUUUGAUUUUAUAGGCUCAUAGAUGGAAGGGACUUGCCUUAUCUCAGAUAAGGCAAGUGGACUUUUGAGUAGACUUUUGAGUUAAUGCUGAAAUGAGUUAAGACUUUGGGGGACUGUUGGGAGGGCAUGAUUUAUUCUGAAAUGUGAGGAUAUGAGAUUUGGGAGGGGCCAGGGGUGGAAUGAUAUGGUUUGGCUGUGUACCCACACAAAUCUCAUCUUGAAUUCCCAUGUGUUGUGGGAAGGACUUGGUGGGAGGUAAUUGAAUCUUGGAGGCAGGUUUUUUCCAUGCUGUUCUUGUGAUAAUAAGUCUCAUGAGAUCUGAUGGUUAUUACAAGGGGGCGUUAUCCUGCACAAGCUCUCUCUUUGCAUGCUGCCAUCCACGUAAGAUGUGACUUGCUGCUCCUUGCCUUCCACCAUGAUUGUGAAGCCUCCCCAGCCAUGUGCAACUGUAAGUCCAAUAAACCUCUUUCUUUUGUAAAUUGUCCAGUCUCAGGUAUGUCUUUAUCAGCAGCGAGAAAACAGACUAAAACACUUACCAUAUCUAAACUGUAUUAAUUUCUCCCCAAACCAUCUUUCUCUCUUAGCUUUUCUUGUUUUUAAAAGUAGUACUAUUGUUUUCCUUGGCUUGAA